Molecule: long non-coding RNA, 1802 nt
Organism: Pollicipes pollicipes
Lineage: Eukaryota; Metazoa; Arthropoda; Thecostraca; Pollicipedomorpha; Pollicipedidae
Exons: 3
Source: RefSeq, a predicted model, not a curated record
GUGAACUCCUGUGAUUAGACGAUGACGAGGCUGACGCCGCCGCUGGCAGUCUUUGCCUUCGGCUCGGCUGAUGCGACAUGAGGCAUUUGUAUGAGGAGACCUGAUCCAUCAUCAAUGGGACAGCUUCGUGAUUGCAGCAACUUGACUCUGUGUACGUUAUGACCCUGCCUCAGGUGAAGGCAGCUGCAGGAUACAAACUUCACUGAGACGCAAAGACAUAUGAGCAGGGGAAACUAGAACAAGAGUGACGAGCGCUCACUGCUUGGUCAGAAGGCCGGUUCCUCCCUUGGUUACAGGUCAAGGCAGCUGCAGGAUACAAACUUCGCUGAGACGCAAAGACAUAUGAGUAGGGGAAACUAGAGGAAGAGUGACGAGCGCUCACUGCUGGGCCAGAAGGCCGGUUUGCUGGCACAAUUACAGUUUGACCUGGCUUCAGGUCCAUGCUGCAUUGGAAGACGCCGGGUCGUAUGCGAAGCUGCUGGGCACCAGCCAGUGCUUGGCGAUGACGUCGGCAAGACAUGAACGCAGAGGCGCGUGAUGUCUGCCGGGCCAAUCCAAGAGCAGGACGCCGGCACCUUGGAGAGAUGAGCGGGAGGCAUGAAUGUCGGAUGGGUGGCUAUGUAUGUUUAUCCUGUUUCUGGCGGGCAUUUGUGUCAUUGAUGGCUCUGGAGUAUCCAAAAAGUUAGGAUCAUUGCGUUUUCGAUGACUAGUUUGCGGGUUGAAGAUACCAGCCGUUUUUGUAAGACCUGAUCCCACCAUUAAUGGGUCGAGUUUGCAAGGCCAUACACACAUCUUCCUUUCUUCUAUCUGGUUGUAUUAAAGAAAACAAUCCAGUUUACCUGGUAAAUGCCUUUUAACCGUCACAGCAGUAUGCGAGUAACCAGCUUUGGGUGUGCCUGGCAAUUACCACUACACAACAGUUAUAGGUCUGCUCACAGUUCUGUGCAUGCAACAACAACGUUGCAUUAUAACUAUAGCAUAUCAGUGCGUCUUGAGAACAUAUGUGGUGGACAUUGGUCCGAGAGGUUCUCAAUUAUGCUGCCAACUGAAUGUUACGCCAAUAGUAUCAACGCACGUUUAUUUUCCCAUCUACAGUGAUAGAUGCCUUCCCUGGCCUGUUCUGUCGGAGCCAUUCUGAGCAUUGACAUUUUGGAAAACAUUUCACCACCAGAACUGCGUGUCAAACGACAGCGCUUCUUGGUAGACGACUAUAUGGACGUGAAACUACAUUGCAUUUUGUGAGGCAGAAUGAAUGCUUGGGGCGGAAUGUACGUAAAGUGUGAUUCGCCUUGUUUGAAGAGCAGUUGCCACCUUGGCCAAGGUAAGAUAUUCAAGUUGAAAGUUUGAUUCCUAUGAAAGGUGCUGAAAGAGCCCUCCUUGUUUUCGGCCGCAGGUGGUGUGCUUUUCGUGCACUGUGAAAGUUGCUGGUAUCCUUUAGUCCAUCUGUUUCAUGAUAGUGAAUUUGCUAAGCGUAGUUAAUGGUAGCUUCAAGAUUGCUGGGUUUUUUUGGGGGGGGGGGGGAGGCGCGUUCUAGGAGCUCGGCGCGUUUUUGUGACUCGGUAGAUGGUGUUUCACGGAUCGUAUGCCUCAGUAUGACGACGCAACCGCCAGGGUGAGGAGGGAGACGGAGAAGUAAUCACCUCGCUGUUGAGGCAGAAGCGCAUCACCAGCAUCGGUACAUCGUUACGUGCUUGGUCUCCAUCUGCGCCAUCUUGGGAGCUCUCAGUUACGUCUUUCCAAGCGAACCCUGUGGUAUAUUCUCGAGACGACCUCGGUGUCCGUAAAAUAAACGCUCGAUCCGA